CCCCAUCCCAUGUAACUCUGAACGUCCCGCAGGCGUCCCCAUAAUGCAGAAGUGUCUCUUUAACUUCCUCUCUGUGGAUCUAAUCCCACUGCCUCUUAAUUUACCCAGAUUAUUCAUGUUUGUUCAUAUUGACAUGUCGUCACAAAACAACAAUCUUCACAGAAUCUAGAAAUGUUUUCGUGUUCAAAUUACCAUAUAUCAGUGAAACAUCUAUAAUGAAAAAAGUACUUAUUCACCAUUGUUCAUAAUUUUACUAAAUUGCCCUCAUGUGUUAACAAUACUCAUAAUUACAAAAUAUCAGAAUCUAGAAAACUCCAGAUUUAAAAAGUUGUUUUUGCUAAAAUAUUACUAUAAUCCUAAAGUCAUAUAACAGCGAUUCAUUAAAAUCCAGAAAUGCCCUCAUAAUUAUCAAAACUUUCAUAUAUUACAAAAAAACCGAAUCGUACCUCAAUUAUCUUGUUCUGAAAUAAUUAUUUGGUGCAGAUUAUUCUCAUAUUCCAUAAGUGCUGUCAAAAUGCUGAAAUGUCCCUAUAAAUGGAUCUUCCCAUUAUGUAGAUGCAUGUCCACAAUUGGACAAUAGUGUCCAUGUCCUAAAAUGUCUGACACUAAAAGACACCAUUUAUGUUGUCUGAACCAAACAGUAGAAAUGUUCUUAGAAUUUAAAUACUCUUUACAAUGUAGAACAAAACCUGAAAUGUCAUGAUUAUGAAAAAUUGUCAUGAUUUAAAAAUAGUAAAAUAAGCCACAAAUGUUUUCAUAAUAAAACAGCCGAUUAAAAUAUACUGAUAAUCAGUGAUGGUAUAGUCACUAUGAAAAAGUAACUUAGAUUACUGAUAACUUUUAUAGUUGCUUUCAGCAGCUGCUAACAACAACACCCCACCACCUGUGAAAAUUACUUUGAGCUUUGCCAAAACUUAAUUGUAAGCUAUUUUAUAAUAGUAACAUCAACAAUGUGUCUCCACUUAUAAGGUUAAAUUGAAGGGGAGAUUUUUAAAUAGUUACAACAGUACAAAACAAUCUUUCAUAAUUUUUGCGUGUUUUUGUGUGGUC
This is a long non-coding RNA of Poecilia latipinna (sailfin molly), 1050 nucleotides long. RefSeq lists it as uncharacterized. NCBI's taxonomy places the organism in Eukaryota, Metazoa, Chordata, Actinopteri, Cyprinodontiformes, Poeciliidae. The transcript is spliced from 2 exons. The record is from RefSeq and is a predicted model, not a curated record.